UACGGAGGAUGCGAGCGUUAUCCGGAUUUACUGGGUGUAAAGGGAGCGUAGGCGGCGAGUUAAGUCAGCGGUAAAAGCCCGGGGCUCAACCCCGGCCCGCCGUUGAAACUGGCUGGCUUGAGUUGGGGAAAGGCAGGCGGAAUGCGCGGUGUAGCGGUGAAAUGCAUAGAUAUCACGCAGAACUCCGAUUGCGAAGGCAGCAUACCGGCGCCCUACUGACGCUGAGGCACGAAAGCGUGGGUAUCGAACAGG
Molecule: ribosomal RNA, 252 nt
Filed under: uncultured Bacteroidales bacterium
Lineage: Bacteria; Pseudomonadati; Bacteroidota; Bacteroidia; Bacteroidales
Description: partial 16S ribosomal RNA
Rfam family: Bacterial small subunit ribosomal RNA
Source: RNAcentral